AGGACGAACGCUGGCGGCGUGCUUAACACAUGCAAGUCGAACGAGGCGCUUGCGCCUAGUGGCGAACGGGUGAGUAACACGUGAGCAACCUGCCCUUGGCUCUGGGAUAGCCUCCGGAAACGGGGAUUAAUACCGGACAUGACCUUCUCCUGCAUGGGGGAGGGUGGAAAGUUUUUCGGCCAGGGAGGGGCUCGCGGCCUAUCAGCUUGUUGGGGGGGUAACGGCCCACCAAGGCGACGACGGGUAGCCGGCCUGAGAGGGCGACCGGCCACACUGGGACUGAGACACGGCCCAGACUCCUACGGGAGGCAGCAGUGGGGAAUAUUGCACAAUGGGGGAAACCCUGAUGCAGCGACGCCGCGUGCGGGAUGAAGGCCUUCGGGUUGUAAACCGCUUUCAGCAGGGGCGAAUUCAGACGGUACCUGCAGAAGAAGCGACCGGCUAACUACGUGCCAGCAGCCGC
RNAcentral lists this ribosomal RNA (463 nucleotides) under uncultured bacterium. RNAcentral's name for it is "SSU rRNA". It matches the Rfam family "Bacterial small subunit ribosomal RNA", at positions 26 to 518 of the family's 1533-position model. The record is from RNAcentral.